Molecule: ribosomal RNA, 200 nt
Filed under: uncultured bacterium
Lineage: Bacteria
Description: partial 16S ribosomal RNA
Rfam family: Bacterial small subunit ribosomal RNA
Source: RNAcentral
AGAGUUUGAUCCUGGCUCAGAGCGAACGCUGGCGGCAUGCUUAACACAUGCAAGUCGCACGGGCGGGGGCAACCUCGUCAGUGGCGGACGGGUGAGUAACGCGUAGGUAUCUAUCCAGGGGUGGGGGACAACCGCGGGAAACUGCGGCUAAUACCGCAUGAUGACGAGAGUCCAAAGCCUUACGGGGUGCCCUUGGCGGA